Molecule: ribosomal RNA, 253 nt
Filed under: uncultured bacterium
Lineage: Bacteria
Description: partial 16S ribosomal RNA
Rfam family: Bacterial small subunit ribosomal RNA
Source: RNAcentral
UACGUAGGGCGCAAGCGUUGUCCGGAAUUACUGGGCGUAAAGGGCUCGUAGGUGGUUUGUCGCGUUGUUCGUGAAAACUCACAGCUCAACUGUGGGCGUGCGGGCGAUACGGGCAGACUUGAGUACUGCAGGGGAGACUGGAAUUCCUGGUGUAGCGGUGGAAUGCGCAGAUAUCAGGAGGAACACCGGUGGCGAAGGCGGGUCUCUGGGCAGUAACUGACGCUGAGGAGCGAAAGCGUGGGGAGCGAACAGG